This 442-nucleotide ribosomal RNA is filed under the name uncultured bacterium. RNAcentral's name for it is "partial 16S ribosomal RNA". It matches the Rfam family "Bacterial small subunit ribosomal RNA", at positions 338 to 795 of the family's 1533-position model. The record is from RNAcentral.
CCUACGGGUGGCAGCAGUGGGGAAUCUUGGGCAAUGGACGCAAGUCUGACCCAGCAACGCCGCGUGAAGGAAGAAGGCUUUCGGGUUGUAAACCUCUGUUAAGGGGGAAGAGCAGAAGACGGUACCCCUUGAAUAAGCCACGGCUAACUACGUGCCAGCAGCAGCGGUAAUAAGUAGGUGGCAAGCGUUGUCCGGAUUUACUGGGUGGAAAGGGCGUGCAGCCGGAGAGAUAAGGCAGAUGUGAAAUCCACGGGCUCAACCCGGGAACGGCAGUUGAAACUGUGUCCCUUGAGUGUAGGAGAGGAGAUCGGAAUUCCUAGUGUAGCGGUGAAAUGCGUAGAUAUUAGGAAGAACACCAGUGGCGAAGGCGGAUGACUGGACGAUAACUGACGGUGAGGCGCGAAAGCGUGGGGAGCAAACAGGAUUAGAUACCCUUGUAGUC